RNAcentral lists this ribosomal RNA (474 nucleotides) under uncultured Rhodoferax sp. RNAcentral's name for it is "bacterial SSU rRNA". It matches the Rfam family "Bacterial small subunit ribosomal RNA", at positions 903 to 1382 of the family's 1533-position model. Lineage: Bacteria; Pseudomonadati; Pseudomonadota; Betaproteobacteria; Burkholderiales; Comamonadaceae. The record is from RNAcentral.
AAAGGAAUUGACGGGACCCGCACAAGCGGUGGAUGAUGUGGUUUAAUUCGAUGCAACGCGAAAACCUUACCCACCUUUGACAUGUACGGAACCUUUAGAGAUAGAGGGUGCUCGAAAGAGAGCCGUAACACAGGUGCUGCAUGGCUGUCGUCAGCUCGUGUCGUGAGAUGUUGGGUUAAGUCCCGCAACGAGCGCAACCCUUGUCAUUAGUUGCUACAUUCAGUUGGGCACUCUAAUGAGACUGCCGGUGACAAGCCGGAGGAAGUGGGGAUGACGUCAAGUCCUCAUGGCCCUUAUAGGUGGGGCUACACACGUCAUACAAUGGCUGGUACAAAGGGUUGCCAACCCGCGAGGGGGAGCCAAUCCCAUAAAGCCAGUCGUAGUCCGGAUCGUAGUCUGCAACUCGACUACGUGAAGUCGGAAUCGCUAGUAAUCGUGGAUCAGAAUGUCACGGUGAAUACGUUCCCGGGUCUU